CCUAUAAGACUGGGAUAACUUCGGGAAACCGGAGCUAAUACCGGAUAACAUUUAGAACCGCAUGGUUCUAAAGUGAAAGAUGGUUUUGCUAUCACUUAUAGAUGGACCCGCGCCGUAUUAGCUAGUUGGUAAGGUAACGGCUUACCAAGGCGACGAUACGUAGCCGACCUGAGAGGGUGAUCGGCCACACUGGAACUGAGACACGGUCCAGACUCCUACGGGAGGCAGCAGUAGGGAAUCUUCCGCAAUGGGCGAAAGCCUGACGGAGCAACGCCGCGUGAGUGAUGAAGGGUUUCGGCUCGUAAAACUCUGUUAUUAGGGAAGAACAAAUGUGUAAGUAACUGUGCACAUCUUGACGGUACCUAAUCAGAAAGCCACGGCUAACUACGUGCCAGCAGCCGCGGUAAUACGUAGGUGGCAAGCGUUAUCCGGAAUUAUUGGGCGUAAAGCGCGCGUAGGCGGUUCCUUAAGUCUGAUGUGAAAGCCCACGGCUCAACCGUGGAGGGUCAUUGGAAACUGGGAAACUUGAGUGCAGAAGAGGAAAGUGGAAUUCCAUGUGUAGCGGUGAAAUGCGCAGAGAUAUGGAGGAACACCAGUGGCGAAGGCGACUUUCUGGUCUGUAACUGACGCUGAUGUGCGAAAGCGUGGGGAUCAAACAGGAUUAGAUACCCUGGUAGUCCACGCCGUAAACGAUGAGUGCUAAGUGUUAGGGGGUUUCCGCCCCUUAGUGCUGCAGCUAACGCAUUAAGCACUCCGCCUGGGGAGUACGACCGCAAGUUGAAACUCAAA
Molecule: ribosomal RNA, 789 nt
Filed under: uncultured Staphylococcus sp.
Lineage: Bacteria; Bacillati; Bacillota; Bacilli; Caryophanales; Staphylococcaceae
Description: bacterial SSU rRNA
Rfam family: Bacterial small subunit ribosomal RNA
Source: RNAcentral